Non-coding RNA from Meleagris gallopavo (turkey), 273 nucleotides. The record is from RefSeq and is a predicted model, not a curated record. NCBI's taxonomy places the organism in Eukaryota, Metazoa, Chordata, Aves, Galliformes, Phasianidae.
UUUGUUGUUUUUCUUUCCUAGGUAUUUUUAUGGCCUCUGUCACAGUAGCGUCUCAGCGUCUCGCAGGCAUUUAUGGAUUUAUUCUGAGAACGUUCCUGUGAGGAGUAAGUCUGUGUCUGUAACGCUGGAUGUUCUGACCACUUGCCUCAGACUGAAGAGGACUUGCUCUGCUUUGGAAUAUGGUGCCUAACUUCUGCGUCUCAGUACUCACUGUGCUAGCAGUCAUCCUGUGCUGCUUGAUGCUGCCUGAACCUGCUAAAGCAGGAGCUGAAA